This 415-nucleotide ribosomal RNA is filed under the name uncultured bacterium. Its description in RNAcentral is "bacterial SSU rRNA". It matches the Rfam family "Bacterial small subunit ribosomal RNA", at positions 107 to 518 of the family's 1533-position model. The record is from RNAcentral.
UGAGUAACGCGUAUGCAACCUACCGUAUCGAGACGGGGAAUAACCCGGCGAAAGUCGGACUAAUACCGCAUAAAACAGGGGCACCGCAUGGUGAUAUUGUUAAAGAAUUCGCUGAUAGAUGGGCAUGCGUUCCAUUAGGUAGUUGGUGAGGUAACGGCUCACCAAGCCGACGAUGGAUAGGGGAACUGAGAGGUUGGUCCCCCCACACUGGUACUGAGACACGGACCAGACUCCUACGGGAGGCAGCAGUGAGGAAUAUUGGUCAAUGGGCGGGAGCCUGAACCAGCCAAGUCGCGUGAAGGAAGAAGGAUCUAUGGUUCGUAAACUUCUUUUGCAGGGGAAUAAAGUGCAGGACGUGUCCUGUUUUGUAUGUACCCUGAGAAUAAGGAUCGGCUAACUCCGUGCCAGCAGCAGC